Molecule: small RNA, 27 nt
Filed under: Bombyx mori (domestic silkworm)
Lineage: Eukaryota; Metazoa; Arthropoda; Insecta; Lepidoptera; Bombycidae
Description: ovarian small RNA-7821
Source: RNAcentral
UCUUGAGUACUACUUGUAGGAGGCGGA